GAUGAACGCUGGCGGCGUGCUUAACACAUGCAAGUCGAACGAAGCACUCUAUUUGAUUUUCUUCGGAAAUGAAGAUUUUGUGACUGAGUGGCGGACGGGUGAGUAACGCGUGGGUAACCUGCCUCAUACAGGGGGAUAACAGUUGGAAACGACUGCUAAUACCGCAUAAGCGCACAGGAUCGCAUGAUCCGGUGUGAAAAACUCCGGUGGUAUGAGAUGGACCCGCGUCUGAUUAGCCAGUUGGCAGGGUGACGGCCUACCAAAGCGACGAUCAGUAGCCGACCUGAGAGGGUGACCGGCCACAUUGGGACUGAGACACGGCCCAAACUCCUACGGGAGGCAGCAGUGGGGAAUAUUGCACAAUGGGGGAAACCCUGAUGCAGCGACGCCGCGUGAGCGAAGAAGUAUUUCGGUAUGUAAAGCUCUAUCAGCAGGGAAGAAGAAUGACGGUACCUGACUAAGAAGCAC
Molecule: ribosomal RNA, 468 nt
Filed under: uncultured bacterium
Lineage: Bacteria
Description: bacterial SSU rRNA
Rfam family: Bacterial small subunit ribosomal RNA
Source: RNAcentral